This is an RNA transcript of Pistacia vera, 1817 nucleotides long. It is a transcript of the gene named 2-methyl-6-phytyl-1,4-hydroquinone methyltransferase, chloroplastic-like, with no coding region annotated. Lineage: Eukaryota; Viridiplantae; Streptophyta; Magnoliopsida; Sapindales; Anacardiaceae. The record is from RefSeq and is a predicted model, not a curated record. The transcript has 4 exons.
UAGAGAGGCAUCCCCACCGGGCCACCCUAGCUGGUGCCCAUGACCCCAUCCUCUGAGUAGUCAGUUUAUAGCAGAAUACAAUCACCAUUUAUUUACAUGUGGUGCUUAUUCUACCAAAGACGCAAAGCUCUUUAACCUUGUCCUUUUGUCCUCCUCCCAUGGUUUAUUUUCUUCCACUCUUUCUAAAAUAUAUUUGAGUUCUCCCAUUAUCGCAACCCAUGUGAUUUGCUUGCAAAAAAUUGAAUCUUUAUUGUUUAUUCUCCAGCAAAAUUUUGUUAUUACACUCCCUCUUAAUUUUAUCAACUGGACAUGCCUAUUGAGUUGCUGGUUUUCAGUUAGGACUUAAGAGUCGAUACAUGUCUUUCCUUGCUUCUUAUUUUUGUUUUGCCAAUUCAUCGCUUCUUCAAUUCUGAGUGGAGCUGAUAAUCUUAAGCUAAUGAGUGGAAUAGCUCCAACCGGGUUAGGAUUUGCGGGCUCAGAUUUCCAUUUUAGGUGCUUGUACUUCCCGAAGAAAGGGUUAGUGUCUUAUAAUAGGAACCAAAAUGGUAGGAUCUUGACAACCAGAUGCAGUAUAUCAUCUUCAAGGCCUGCUUCUCAGCCGAGGUUCAUACAACACAAGAAAGAAGCAUUUUGGUUUUACAGGUUCUUAUCUAUAGUGUAUGACCAUAUCAUAAACCCAGGUCACUGGACUGAGGACAUGAGAGAUGAGGCGUUAGAGCCUGCUGAUCUCUUUGAUAGGAAUAUGAGAGUGGUAGAUGUUGGUGGUGGGACUGGCUUUACAACUCUUGGUAUAGUUAAGCAUGUGGAUGCCAAAAAUGUUACAAUUCUUGACCAGUCACCGCAUCAGCUUGCCAAGGCUAAAAAGAAGGAGCCCUUGAAGGAAUGCACGAUAAUUGAAGGUGAUGCGGAGGAUCUCCCCUUCCCUACUGAUUAUGCAGAUCGCUAUGUGUCAGCUGGAAGUAUCGAGUACUGGCCAGACCCACAACGUGGCAUCAAAGAAGCAUACAGGGUACUAAAAAUAGGAGGAAAAGCCUGUGUCAUAGGUCCUGUGUAUCCAACCUUUUGGUUGUCUCAAUUCUUCGCAGAUAUGUGGAUGCUCUUUCCAAAGGAGGAAGAUUAUAUUGAAUGGUUUAAAAAAGCUGGUUUCAAGGAUGUUAAACUGAAAAGGAUUGGUCCAAAAUGGUACCGCGGAGUCCGUCGGCAUGGCUUGAUCAUGGGUUGCUCUGUUACAGGUGUGAAGCCUUUAUCAGGAGACUCUCCUCUACAGCUUGGUCCUAAGGCAGAGGAUUUAAAGAAGCCUGUGAAUCCCUUUGUGUUCUUCCUGAGGUUUCUUCUUGGGGUCAUUGCAGCAACUUACUAUGUACUGGUUCCCAUCUACAUGUGGAUCAAAGAUCAAAUUGUUCCAAAGGGCCAGCCGAUCUGAAAUAGGAGGAAGAUUUGAGGGUCUGCGAUUGAUUAUGGAGCUGGUUAAUCUGUCAUUCGUUUUGUUGAUCAACAUUAUUCCUUUUGGAGUAAGACAGAUGAGACAUCUUGUUUUAUUUCCUUGGCCGGUGACUAGCAAUGCUGCAAAGCUCAGCUGUUAUGGCUGCAACUGGUAGCCUUAGUGAGGUUAAUGUAACAGAAUUCUCAGAUCCUGAAAGAUACCCUUUCACGUCAUUUGGGCAGCGAUACUGCAUUAAAAAAGAGAAGGUAAACAGAUUUUUUCAGAAAAAUGAACCAAAUGCUUUCAGAUUGCUAAAAAGGGUGAGAAAAAAUUAUGUUAAUAAUUUACUUUGGGUCCAAGAAGACAGGCAUGUGUUCCAUAGCUACUCAACAAG